GCCCCCAUAGCUCAAUGGAUAGAGUGUGGGCUUCCGAAGCCUGAGAUGUAGGUUCGAUUCCUACUGGGGGCA
This 72-nucleotide transfer RNA is filed under the name Candidatus Doudnabacteria bacterium RIFCSPHIGHO2_01_52_17. Its description in RNAcentral is "tRNA-Arg". It matches the Rfam family "tRNA". Rfam says of the family: Transfer RNA (tRNA) molecules are approximately 80 nucleotides in length. Their secondary structure includes four short double-helical elements and three loops (D, anti-codon, and T loops). Lineage: Bacteria; Candidatus Doudnaibacteriota. The record is from RNAcentral.